RNAcentral lists this ribosomal RNA (408 nucleotides) under uncultured bacterium. Its description in RNAcentral is "bacterial SSU rRNA". It matches the Rfam family "Bacterial small subunit ribosomal RNA", at positions 29 to 424 of the family's 1533-position model. The record is from RNAcentral.
AGCGAACGCUGGCGGCGUGCUUAACACAUGCAAGUCGAGUGAAGGAAAUUCCUGUAGCAAUACCGGGGUUUCUAUUCACGGCGCACGGGUGCGUAACACGUGGGUGACCUGCCCUAAGAUGGGGAAUAACCCCGCGAAAGCGGGGCUAAUACCGCAUAAAAUUCCGCGACAUUCGGGUUGCGGAUUCAAAGUCUUCGGACGUCUUUGGAGGGGCCCGCGGCCGAUUAGCUAGUUGGCGAGGUAACGGCNCACCAAGGCAAUGAUCGGUAGCUGGUCUGAGAGGAUGAUCAGCCACACUGGAACUGAGACACGGUCCAGACUCCUACGGGAGCAGCAGUGGGGAAUCUUGCGCAAUGGGCGAAAGCCUGACGCAGCGACGCCGCGGUGGGGGAUGAAGCUUCUCGGAGU